This 718-nucleotide unclassified non-coding RNA is filed under the name Hevea brasiliensis (rubber tree). The record is from RNAcentral. Lineage: Eukaryota; Viridiplantae; Streptophyta; Magnoliopsida; Malpighiales; Euphorbiaceae.
AAAAGCCAAAGAGGACAUGGAUGGUACUUCCUUGAUAACCCCAUCUUCGAUUCUUGGCUUUAAUUCAUUGUCUUUCUAUUUAUUCUUGGCUUAUUUAGAGAUGACCCAAUUGUUAUUGCUGUCUAUUUUGAUUGUAUUUUGUUACGUUGCAUGUUCAUGUUCUUUUGAAAAUGAAAAAUUAAUUCGGAGAAGAGGAGGGUAAAAUAGAUAAUGGAUGGUUGUUAUUAGCUUAUUCAAUACCAAGUUUCGGUAUCUGUUUGUAUUUAUGCUUAACUUGCAUUGUUGCUCAAGUUUUGAACAACGAAUAUAUUAUAUAUAAUUUUCCAUACAGAUCUAAUAUAAAGAUCCCACUCAACAAAAUACUCGGUCAUAACUUUUGGUACCUGAUUUUUUGGGUAUUGUGCAUGGAUAGUGUUUCCUCCUUUGAUAGCUUCGUUGUAUAUUUUAUGAUUUUGGCAUCAUAUAUUUUGGUUUGGAUUGCAACUAUACUGGCUCAGUAUGAAGGUUUUGAUAUAUCUUGAUUUUCUUUUCUUUGUUUAAGCAUAUAAUAAAAUGAUAUAUAUAGUUUAUCCCAUCAUCCUUUUUCUCAAAGAAUUUUAUAGUGUGAAGAUGAACAUUUGCUUGCAUACAGCUCCGGUAAUCGUGUGAAAGAGAUACUUUGGGAUCGUGUGGGAGUGUCAUCAAAUAGGAACUCAUGUAGAACUUUUUGCACUGGCAG